AACGAACGCUGGCGGCAGGCCUAACACAUGCAAGUCGAGCGCCCCGCAAGGGGGAGCGGCAGACGGGUGAGUAACACGUGGGAACCUUCCCUAUAGUACGGAAUAGCCCAGGGAAACUUGGAGUAAUACCGUAUACGCCCGAGAGGGGAAAGAUUUAUCGCUAUAGGAUGGGCCCGCGUAGGAUUAGCUAGUUGGUGAGGUAAUGGCUCACCAAGGCGACGAUCCUUAGCUGGUCUGAGAGGACGACCAGCCACACUGGGACUGAGACACGGCCCAGACUCCUACGGGAGGCAGCAGUGGGGAAUAUUGGACAAUGGGCGCAAGCCUGAUCCAGCCAUGCCGCGUGAGUGAUGAAGGCCUUAGGGUUGUAAAGCUCUUUUGCCGGGGACGAUAAUGACGGUACCCGGAGAAUAAGUCCCGGCUAACUUCGUGCCA
Molecule: ribosomal RNA, 435 nt
Filed under: uncultured bacterium
Lineage: Bacteria
Description: bacterial SSU rRNA
Rfam family: Bacterial small subunit ribosomal RNA
Source: RNAcentral